Molecule: ribosomal RNA, 506 nt
Filed under: uncultured Glomus
Lineage: Eukaryota; Fungi; Glomeromycota; Glomeromycetes; Glomerales; Glomeraceae
Description: SSU rRNA
Rfam family: Eukaryotic small subunit ribosomal RNA
Source: RNAcentral
AGCAGCCGCGGUAAUUCCAGCCCCAAUAGCGUAUAUUAAAGUUGUUGCAGUUAAAAAGACUCGUAGUUGAAUUUCGGGAUCAAUAUAUCGGUCAUGCUUAGGUAUGUACUGGUAUUAUUGAUUUCUCCCUUCUGAAGAACCAUGAUGUCAUUAAUUUGAUGUCGUGGGGAAUCAGGACUGUUACUUUGAAAAAAUUAGAGUGUUUAAAGCAGGCAUACGCUUGAAUACAUUAGCAUGGAAUAAUGAAAUAGGACGUUUGAUUCUAUUUUGUUGGUUUCUAGGAUCGACGUAAUGAUUAAUAGGGAUAGUUGGGGGCAUUAGUAUUCAAUUGUCAGAGGUGAAAUUCUUGGAUUUAUUGAAGACUAACUACUGCGAAAGCAUUUGCCAAGGAUGUUUUCAUUAAUCAAGAACGAAAGUUAGGGGAUCGAAGACGAUCAGAUACCGUCGUAGUCUUAACCAUAAACUAUGCCGACUAGGGAUCGGAUGAUGUUAAUUUUUAAUGACUC